UUUCUCUAAUCAGUGAAACUGAUCUCUCCGUGAAGAAGCGGGGAUACUCCUAUAAGACGAAAAGACCCCAUGGAGCUUCAAACCCAACUACACCCUUAACUACCACAACCGCACAACCUCUUAGGGCCCUGUAUAGUUGGUUUUAGGUUGGGGCGACCACGGAGUACAACCAAACCUCCGCAAUGGACGGGACCACUCCCUUAUCUAAGAGCCACACCUCUAAGAAUUAAAACACUAACAUAAAAUGAUCCAUGAUCUGAUCAAUGAACCAAGUUACCCUGGGGAUAACAGCGCAAUCCAUUUCAAGAGCCCUUAUCGACAAGUGGGUUUACGACCUCGAUGUUGGAUCAGGGUAUCCUAGUGGUGCAGCAGCUACUAAUGGUUCGUUUGUUCAACGAUUAAAACCCU
Molecule: ribosomal RNA, 408 nt
Filed under: Mantidactylus opiparis
Lineage: Eukaryota; Metazoa; Chordata; Amphibia; Anura; Mantellidae
Description: partial 16S ribosomal RNA
Rfam family: Bacterial large subunit ribosomal RNA
Source: RNAcentral